Molecule: long non-coding RNA, 3001 nt
Organism: Gorilla gorilla gorilla (western lowland gorilla)
Lineage: Eukaryota; Metazoa; Chordata; Mammalia; Primates; Hominidae
Exons: 3
Source: RefSeq, a predicted model, not a curated record
AUUUUUGUAGUUUUAGUAGAGACAGGGUUUCACCAUGUUGGCCAGGCUGGUCUUCAACUCCUGACCUCAGGUGAUCUACCUGCCUUGGCCUCCCAAAGUGCUGGGAUUACAGGUGUGAGCCACCACACCCAGCCUUCCAUACUAUUAAAAACAUUUUAUAGAUACCAUGUAAAUAGCGGAUAUACCAUACUUUACUCAACCAUUUCUGCAUUAAGUACCAGUGUUUUGCAACUAUAAAUAGUGUCAAGAUGGCUUUGUGCAUAUAGAUUUAUGAAUUAUUUAUUUCAGAUAAAUUACCUAAAGUGAGACAAAUGGGAUAAAAAUAUUGAGCAUUUAAAGCUCCUAAAAUAUUUUGUGAUAGCUUUCAGAAAAUGUUUUAAAAAUUAAAAUACAGUGAGCAACCUAUGAGAAUACCAGCAUUACCGAACCCUUGCUAGCAUUGAAUAUUGCCAUUUAAAAAAUUAGUUCUGUGUAAUUAUUAUGAAUAUCAUUUUAUUUUCACACAUGCAUAUUCUAACCAAAUAGCAUUAUUGCUAACUCUCUUUUUACAGGGUGGAGAAAGAAAUAUAUGUAUUAUUUAAUAUAUGUGGACAAAGCAUUUUCCACUUUAGGUUUUCAAUGAGUAGCUUGGAUCAUUGAGGAAUGUAGUAAUAAGCCACUACACAGUCCCAAGUUAUCUUUUGGGGUUUUGGUUUAUUUUUUUUAAUACAGAUUCUCACUCUGUCACGGAGACUGGCAUGCAGUAAUGCAAUCACAGUUUACUGCAGCCUUAACCUCCCCAGCUCAAGCAAUCCUUCCACCUUAACCUCUUGAGUAGCUAGGACCGCAGGCGUGUACCACUACUCCUGGCUAAUUUAUUUCAUUUCAUUUCAUUUUUUUGAGUCAGAGUCUUUCUCUGUUCCCCAGGCUGGAGUGCAGUGGUGUGAUCUUGGCUCACUACAGCCUCUGCCUCCCAGGUUCAAGUGAUUCUCCUGCCUUAGCCUCCCGAGUAGCUGGAAUUACAGGCACGUGCCACCACGCCCAGCUAAUUUUUGUAUUUUUAGUAGAGACAGGGUUUCACCAUGUUGGCCAGGCUGGUCUGGAACUCCUGACUUCAAGUGAUUUGCCUGCCUCGGCCUCCCAAAGUGCUGGGAUUACAGGCAUGAGCCACUGCUCUCAGCCUAAUUUAUUUUAUUUGUAGAGAUGGAUGAUACGAUUAGGCUUUUUGUUCCCACCUGAACAGAAAGCCUAAUCUCCUCCUGAAUUGUAAUCCCCAUAAUCCCCACAUGGCAAGGAGAGACCAGGUGGAGGUAAUUGAAUCAUGGGGGGGCGGUUUUCCCUCUGCUCUUUUGAUGAUAGUGAGUGAAUUCUCACCACAGCUGAUGGUUAUGUAAGAGGCUCUUCCCCCUUUCUCGGCACUUCUUCCGGCCGCCUUGUGAGGAAGGCAUCUUGCUUCCCCUUCGCCUCCUGACGUGAUUGUGAAUUUCCUGAGGCCUCCCCAGCCGUGAUGAACUCACCCACCUCAACUACCAGCAUCAGAAAACAAGUUCCGGCCGGGUGCAGUGGCUCACACCUGUAAGAGUGGCUCACACUUUGGGAGGCCAAGAUUCUCUGCAAAACUUCUGGACAACUGACAUCUCCCUAAAUGUGAUAUUCUGAUACACCCCCAUCUUCUGAUGUUUAAAUUGUAACCUGUGACAAUACUUCUAGAUGUCAAAACAAUAGUGAUUAAACAUUCAACGGUUACCUUCUAAAUAUGAUCUUUCUUCCACUUACCUAACCCAAUACUUUCAAGUCUAUCAGACAAGAAAAAUCUCUUUCUACCUCCUAGGACUCAUAGAAAAUAAGUUGAAAAAUAGUAAGACUUCUGUUAGAAAAAUAAUUUUUAAAGAUGUCCCCCAACCCAAAACAGAAGCCAUGAGGAUUUAAACAAGUGAAGCCAAGGUCCACUGAUUUUUAGGGGGCUUACAGUUUGAAAUGGUAUCUUUUAAAUUCAAAUUUUAUUCAAAUUAUUCUGUCUGCAGAAUACUGCACAUACUCAUUCUGUUUUUCAGAAUGUACAUGCUGUCAUUUAUUAAAUUACUAAACUUUACUUUCAUUAAUUUUUUUUUUUUUGAGACAGCAUAUCCCUCUGUCACCCAGGCUAGAGUGCGGUGGCUCACUGCAACAUCCGCCUCCCAGGUUCAAGGGAUUCUCCUGCCUCAGCCUCCUGAGUAGUUGGGAUUAUAGGCAUGUGCUACCACACCCAGCUAAUUUUUGUAUAUUUAGUAGAGACAGGGUUUCACCAUGCUGGCUAGGCUGGUCUCGAACGCCUGACCUCAGUUGAUCCACCUGCCUCGGCCUCCCAAAGUGCUGAGAUUACAGGCGUGAGCCUUAAUUUUAAUAAACAUAAUUAUUGUUGAAAUUGUUAGUUGUGAUAAUGGCAUGGUGGUUAGGCAAAAAAAAGUUGUCAGAAACACAUUCUGAAGAAAUUAUAAACCUUGAGUGGUGGCUCACACCUAAUCUUAGCACUUUAGGAGGCUGAGGUGGGAGGAUUGCUUGAAGCUGGGAGUUUGAAACCAGCCUGGGCAAACAAGUGAAACCCCGUCUCUACAAAAAAAAAAAAUGUUAAUAACUUAUAGAUAAUUGUUAUGAUGUCUGAGACUUGAUUUAAAAUAUUACAGCCAAAAAAUAAGGCAAGAUAGGUAAAAAUAAGAUUAGCAAAAUAUUGAUAAUUGUUAAAGUUGGUUGAUAGGUACAUAGAGGUUUAUUAUACAGUUUACUGUUGUGUAUGCUUUAAGCUUUCUAUAAUAAAAUAUUUUAAAAUUGCAUACUGUUAUUUUGCUGUUCUUAUUAUAUCAUCACGUUUUUGCCCCUCCUCAAUCAUACUCCCAUGGCAUAUAUCCUACUGGAGAAUUCUUCUUGAAUCCUUAUUCCAGGGAAAGAAAGAAAGAACCAAAGAGCCCAUGUGGAUUCAGCCAGGAGCCAAACUCCAGGCGCUGGUCACUUCUUUAGCUUCCAACUUCCUGCUAAGCCACAGGUG